This is a long non-coding RNA of Gavia stellata (red-throated loon), 823 nucleotides long. RefSeq lists it as uncharacterized. The transcript has 4 exons. Lineage: Eukaryota; Metazoa; Chordata; Aves; Gaviiformes; Gaviidae. The record is from RefSeq and is a predicted model, not a curated record.
AAAAGAGUAGUUAAGAUGUGAGCAAGAAGCUUAGGAAAUGUACAGUCUACCACAGGGUGUUUUAGCACUCUUCCACAGGAAUAAAUAUAGAAAGAAAGAAAGAAAGAUGUUCAUAAGAAACCAAGCAUCACCUCCAGCCAGUGUCACUUUUUUCCCCCCAACGGAGCAAUAAUCUGAGGGACUUCAGAUCUCCAGGCUACAGCAAUUAGACAGGAUAAGAGCUUCCUAUUCACAGAGCUCCUCCUUCAGCUCCGGUGGUGUAAAGCUAGCUCCUGCUACAUGGAAAAGUUGCUCCAGCACAUGCAAAAAAUUAAAAUUCAAGAAGCUUGGGUUUAUUUGAAGUAACACCAACAUAGAUCUGGGAUGAUUCCAUUAACAGCACUGCAGUCAUGCUCUGUUUCUAACAGGAUAGCUAAAGGCACCUGCAAGGUAUCAAAGCCAAAGGCAUCACUAUUUUUGAAAAAUGAGACAGAGGAUGUCAAGCAAGGAGCCAGCAGUUGCGAACUGUUUAAUUCAUGCUGAUUUUCCCAGAACUGUAUCCAAGGAGGAUGUCACACUUUUCCAUUCUCAAGUUCAACCUUUCCUCUGAGUGCAUCAGCAAGUUUCAUCUCUUCUGAAACUGUACUCCCCCGUGAGUUAUUUAUAAUCUCCUGCUGCUGCUUGUUAAGUAAAAUUUCACUCACCUUCCUUCUCUCUGCCUCAGAUUGUUAUAUUCCACUGAUACGCUGCUGCUUCACAUAUAAACCUUUCAUCAGCCCGUUUUCUUCCAGCUCCAAGGCAUGCUAAUCUCAAAGGAGACCAUUCAGAGAAAUGGAAAGGAAGU